AUUGAACGCUGGCGGCAGGCUUAACACAUGCAAGUCGAGCGGAGAUGAGGUGCUUGCACCUUAUCUUAGCGGCGGACGGGUGAGUAAUGCUUAGGAAUCUGCCUAUUAGUGGGGGACAACAUUCCGAAAGGAAUGCUAAUACCGCAUACGUCCUACGGGAGAAAGCAGGGGAUCUUCGGACCUUGCGCUAAUAGGUGAGCCUAAGUCGGAUUAGCUAGUUGGUGGGGUAAAGGCCUACCAAGGCGACGAUCUGUAGCGGGUCUGAGAGGAUGAUCCGCCACACUGGGACUGAGACACGGCCCAGACUCCUACGGGGGGCAGCAGUGGGGAAUAUUGGACAAUGGGGGGAACCCUGAUCCAGCCAUGCCGCGUGUGUGAAGAAGGCCUUAUGGUUGUAAAGCACUUUAAGCGGGGAGGAGGCUACUGAGACUAAUACUCUUGGAUAGUGGACGUUACUCGCAGAAUAAGCACCGGCUAACUCUGUGCCAGCCGCCGCAGUAA
This 501-nucleotide ribosomal RNA is filed under the name uncultured bacterium. Its description in RNAcentral is "partial 16S ribosomal RNA". It matches the Rfam family "Bacterial small subunit ribosomal RNA", at positions 30 to 523 of the family's 1533-position model. The record is from RNAcentral.